AAUUGGAGGGCAAGUCUGGUGCCAGCAGCCGCGGUAAUUCCAGCUCCAAUAGCGUAUAUUAAAGUUGUUGCAGUUAAAAAGCUCGUAGUUGAAUUUCGGGAUCAAUAUUUCGGUCAUGCCGUUGGUAUGCACUGUUAUCAUUGAUUUCUCACCUUCUAAAGAACCGUAAUGCCAUUAAUUUGGUGUUACGGGGAAUUAGGACUGUUACCUUGAAAAAAUUAGAGUGUUUAAAGCAGGCUCACGCUUGAAUACAUUAGCAUGGAAUAAUGAAAUAGGACAUCCGAUUCUAUUUUGUUGGUUUCUAGGAUCGAUGUAAUGAUUAAUAGGGAUAGCUGGGGGCAUUAGUAUUCAAUUGUCAGAGGUGAAAUUCUUGGAUUUAUUGAAGACUAACUACUGCGAAAGCAUUUGCCAAGGAUGUUUUCAUUAAUCAAGAACGAAAGUUAGGGGAUCGAAGACGAUCAGAUACCGUCGUAGUCUUAACCAUAAACUAUGCCGACUAGGGAUCGGAUGAUGUUAAUUUUUUAAUGACUCAUUCGGCGCCUUACGGGAAACCAAAGUGU
This 560-nucleotide ribosomal RNA is filed under the name uncultured Glomus. RNAcentral describes it as "SSU rRNA". It matches the Rfam family "Eukaryotic small subunit ribosomal RNA", at positions 546 to 1106 of the family's 1831-position model. The record is from RNAcentral. Lineage: Eukaryota; Fungi; Glomeromycota; Glomeromycetes; Glomerales; Glomeraceae.